RNAcentral lists this long non-coding RNA (1855 nucleotides) under Chloebia gouldiae (Gouldian finch). RNAcentral's name for it is "Erythrura gouldiae (Gouldian finch) lncRNA (ENSEGOG00005016964.1)". The record is from RNAcentral. Lineage: Eukaryota; Metazoa; Chordata; Aves; Passeriformes; Passeridae.
CUUGGGAUCUGGGAUGUGCCUGGGAUCCUGGAUGUACCUGGAAUCCUGGAUUCCUUGGGAUCUGGGAUGUGCCUGGGAUCCAGGAUUCCUUGGGAUCUGGGAUUUCCUUGGGAUCUGGGAUGUACCUGGGAUCUGGGAUGAACCUGGGAUCCUGGAUGUACCUGGAAUCCUGGAUUCCUUGGGAUCCAGGAUUCCUUGGGAUCUGGGAUUUCCUUGGGAUCCGGGAUUUCCCUGGUUUCCAGGAUUCUUUGGGAUCUGGGAUUUCCUUGGGAUCUGGGAUGUACCUGGGAUCCAGGAUUUCCCUGCGAUCCAGGAUUCCUUGGGAUCUGGGUUGUCCCUGGGAUCCUGGAUGUACCUGGAAUCCUGGAUUCCUUGGGAUCUGGGAUUUCCUUGGGAUCUGGGAUGUACCUGGGAUCCAGGAUUUCCCUGUGGUCCAGGAUGUACCUGGGAUCCCAGAUUUUCCUGGGAUCCAGGAUUUCCCUAGGAUCCCAGAUUUCCCUGUGGUCUAGGAUGUACCUGGGAUUCUGGAUGUACCCGAGAUCCCAGAUUUCCCUAGGAUCUAGGAUCUCCCUGAGAUCCCAGAUUUCCCUGUGCUCCAGGAUUCCCCCUGUGCUUCCCUGCUCCCACCUGAGCACGCUCACAUGGAAUCUCAUCUUCCCUGUGUCCGUGGCAUCCAGCUCAGAUUCUUCCCAGAUCGCUGUGACAGAGCUUGGAAUUUCUAAUGCCACAUCCUGAUUUUUUUUCCUUUUUUCCCCCUUUUCUCUUUUUUUUUUUUUUUUUUUUUAGGUUUUUUUUCCAAUUUUUUUUCCCCAAUUCAGUCAUUUCUUGAGCUUUCCCAGCCCAAAGCCACAAAUCCAUCAGGAUUUUUUUUUUUUCUCCCAGGAGAAGCCUGAACCUGUGGUGUGCUGUCGGGAAGAUUUUAAAGGAGCACAGGGAUCUGCACCCCAGGCUGGGCUCUCCCAGCCUGUGCCAUCAGGGUGUCCAAAUUUUACCCCAAAUCCAGGUUUUAUCCCAAUGACAAGGACAUCAUUCUCCACACAGGGAAUAAUAUAUAUCCAAAUCCCUAAUUCUCAGUACGGGGAGGAAAUCCCAGCCUCCUGUCCUUUCCCUCCAUCCUCCCCACGAGGAAAAGCAGAGUAGAGCUUUUUGCUUGCUGCCCUGGUGAGGAAUUCAGGAUUCCCUCCCCUCCUUCCUCACCUCCCCGCCCUCCUCAGGUAAGUGUGGAGCUCCAGGAUGGGCUCUGCAUGUGCCAGGCCCACCUCUGGGAGGGAGAAUUUGGGGGGGGUGGCUGCUUUUUUGGGGGCAUUUCAGGCAAAAUCAGCACGGGGGGAGCCCGGACUGAGCCAAUUCCAGCGUGGAGCUGCUGGGCAGAUCCCAAAGUUUUCGGGGGGCAGGGCCGGUGCCCGUCGUUCCCCCCCUCGCUGCUGAGGCAUCUCCUGGUGGGGAAGGAGCAGCUGUGGCAGCAGAAUGGCUGCUCUGGGGGCUGGGGUUGGGAUUUUCCCCUCAGGAAUUCCAAGGCCAAGGCGCCGUUCCCAGCAGGAGGGUCCCGGGGUGCCCCUGGAGCUGCUCCCCCUCCGUCUCCUGCUCCGCUGGGAGCGCCUCCAGGCUGCUGCGGUUAAAAGGAUGCUGUCAAUGCCCUCCUGUAGAUGGCUUUUAAUCCCUCAUAUUUAUUCAAAUCCUCUGUAGCGCUGUGGAUUCUCCCCCUCUCCUCGGGCGCCUUCGUUUCCGGAACUUUCUCCAGGUUUCAGGGUGGCGGAAGGCGGUGGUGGCGGACUGGACGGGUCACCCGGCGAUCACAGGAUUUGCACAACUCUGGGAAAAUAAAAGACAAAACACUUUUGUUUAGUUCCUACCG